RNAcentral lists this ribosomal RNA (492 nucleotides) under uncultured bacterium. RNAcentral's name for it is "partial 16S ribosomal RNA". It matches the Rfam family "Bacterial small subunit ribosomal RNA", at positions 30 to 523 of the family's 1533-position model. The record is from RNAcentral.
AUUGAACGCUGGCGGCAUGCUUUACACAUGCAAGUCGAACGGUAACAGGUUAAGCUGACGAGUGGCGAACGGGUGAGUAAUACAUCGGAACGUGCCUGAUAGUGGGGAACAACUACUUGAAAAAGUAGCUAAUGCCGCAUACAGUCCAAGGACGAAAGGGGGGGAUCGCAAGACCUCUCGCUAACAGAGCGGCCGAUGUCAGAUUAGGUAGUUGGUAGGGCAAAGGCCUACCAAGCCUGCGAUCUGUAGCUGGUCUAGAGGACGACCAGCCACACUGGGACUGAGACACGGCCCAGACUCCUACGGGAGGCAGCAGUGGGGAAUUUUGGACAAUGGGCGCAAGCCUGAUCCAGCAAUGCCGCGUGCAGGACGAAGGCCUUCGGGUUGUAAACUGCUUUUGUACAGAGCGAAAAGCAUCAAGCGAAUAACUUGGUGUCAUGACGGUACUGUAAGAAUAAGCACCGGCUAACUACGUGCCAGCCGCCGCAGUAA